UGAGGAAUAUUGGACAAUGGGCGCAAGCCUGAUCCAGCCAUGCCGCGUGCAGGAUGACGGUCCUAUGGAUUGUAAACUGCUUUUGUACAGGAAGAAACAGUUCUACGUGUAGAACCUUGACGGUACUGUAAGAAUAAGGAUCGGCUAACUCCGUGCCAGCAGCCGCGGUAAUACGGAGGAUCCAAGCGUUAUCCGGAAUCAUUGGGUUUAAAGGGUCCGUAGGCGGUUAGAUAAGUCAGUGGUGAAAGCCCAUCGCUCAACGGUGGAACGGCCAUUGAUACUGUCUGACUUGAAUUAUUAGGAAGUAACUAGAAUAUGUAGUGUAGCGGUGAAAUGCUUAGAGAUUACAUGGAAUACCAAUUGCGAAGGCAGGUUACUACUAAUGGAUUGACGCUGAUGGACGAAAGCGUGGGUAGCGAACAGGAUUAGAUACCCCUGUAGUCCCUGAGCGGGCUGGCAAGGCG
Molecule: ribosomal RNA, 464 nt
Filed under: uncultured bacterium
Lineage: Bacteria
Description: bacterial SSU rRNA
Rfam family: Bacterial small subunit ribosomal RNA
Source: RNAcentral